RNAcentral lists this ribosomal RNA (459 nucleotides) under uncultured bacterium. RNAcentral describes it as "bacterial SSU rRNA". It matches the Rfam family "Bacterial small subunit ribosomal RNA", at positions 331 to 792 of the family's 1533-position model. The record is from RNAcentral.
CCAGACUCCUACGGGAGGCAGCAGUGGGGAAUAUUGCACAAUGGGGGGAACCCUGAUGCAGCGACGCCGCGUGGGUGAAGGAGCACCUCGGUGCGUAAAGCCCUAUCGGCAGGGAAGAAAAGCGAACAGGUUCGCCUGGACGGUACCUGACUAAGAAGCCCCGGCUAACUACGUGCCAGCAGCCGCGGUAAUACGGAGGAUGCGAGCGUUAUCCGGAUUUAUUGGGUUUAAAGGGUGCGUAGGCGGGAUGCCAAGUCAGCGGUAAAAAUGCGGUGCUCAACGCCGUCGAGCCGUUGAAACUGGCGUUCUUGAGUGGGCGAGAAGUAUGCGGAAUGCGUGGUGUAGCGGUGAAAUGCAUAGAUAUCACGCGGAACUCCGAUUGCGAAGGCAGCAUACCGGCGCCCUACUGACGCUGAGGCACGAAAGCGUGGGUAUCGAACAGGAUUAGAUACCCUUGUA